GCCGCUGGAGCCGUGCCUUUUGGAGAUGGCAAUCCAAGCAGAUGGGAAUUGCCACGUUCUUCCAGAUCAUCGUCGGCGAAAUGUUCUUCUACGCCAUCAAGCACGACAAACUGAAGCACCACAGGAACUACAA
Aedes aegypti (yellow fever mosquito) is the source of this 133-nucleotide non-coding RNA. The record is from Rfam. NCBI's taxonomy places the organism in Eukaryota, Metazoa, Arthropoda, Insecta, Diptera, Culicidae.